Phyllostomus hastatus (greater spear-nosed bat) is the source of this 2568-nucleotide long non-coding RNA. RefSeq lists it as uncharacterized. Lineage: Eukaryota; Metazoa; Chordata; Mammalia; Chiroptera; Phyllostomidae. The transcript is spliced from 3 exons. The record is from RefSeq and is a predicted model, not a curated record.
CCCGCCCGCCCGCCCGCUGCUCGGCCUGCCCCGGCGGCGGGGUCCGGCACCGCAGAAAGAGGGGAAGUGAAGAACUUCGGCCGUUGCCUCUCACACUUGCGACUCAACAAGCGACCCAACCGGCCACCUAUCAAUUUUACGAGACGGCGCUCAACCAACUGAGCCACACAGGCUGGAAACGCCUGUCACCCCUGCUGGAGCUGAGAUACUGAAGAUGCAACACCGGAGAGGUCUCGCUGCGGCCACCAGCCAGAGCGAGCAGAACAGCGAUGUUGGGCCAGAGAAGUGGCUGGUCCGGGGCCACCCCACAGCCGUGCUGUGUCACAAUUAAGCCACCUGCACUGCAGCCCAAAUUGGGGGUUUCUUACUUUUCGAUGUUCUUUUUCUCAAUUGUUUUCUUCUCAUUUAAUUUUUUUUCUUUAUUUGCUUUUUUCCCCCGUUUUCUUCUUUAGAAUUUUUUUUUAGGUAGUAUGGGUAUAGUUAGCAUUGUUUAUUAGUAUUGUCAGUUAGCACUGUUAGUAGUUAGUAUAGUUAAUAUUAGUAUAGUUGCUACAGUUAGCAUUGUUUACUGGUAUUGUUUAUUAGCAGAAUUAGUAUGGUUAGCAUUGGUAUAAUUACUAUAGUUAGCAUUGCUUAUUAGCAUAGUUAGCAUGUUACCAUAGAAUAGUUAGUACUGUUUGUCAGCAUAGUUAGUACGCACAGUUAGCAUCGACAGUGUUGUCGGUAUGGCUGGCAAGUUGCCGUGUCUAACGACCUUGCGGCCAUCCCUGCCAACAAAGAGCCCCAUACUGGCCUUUAUGAGCUCCUGAAAACUAUUGGCAAGGGAACCUUUGUCAAUGCAAGGCUGGCCCGGCACAUUCCGAUGGGGACAGAGGUGGCUGUCAAAGUUGUUAAUUGGCGGGGCUCCCCUAUGCCUUUUCAAGAAGUCCGCUAUAUGAAGGGUUUGAAUCCCCAGUAGCAGUUAUUUGAGGAGACUGCUACUGGGCAACAUUAUUCCUUCUAUGACGCGUAGGAGCAGAGGAGACUGGCUUGGUUACCUGGAGGGCCCCUCGACUGAGGAGGAGGCCCGAGCCUUGUUCUGGCAGCUGGGGUCAGCAGUACAGUGCUGCCGCCAGAGGGGCAUCACCCACGGGGCCCAAAGCCAGAGAACCAUCCUCAGAGAUGCUGAGCCGACUGGCAGACUGGCUGACUGGCCGCCUUCAGCCUCAGCGGCGAAGGCACUGGCCGUGAGCCGUUCUGUGGCAUCCUCUCUUAUGUCGCCCCCGAGCUCUGCUGGUGCCAAACUUAUGACAGCCCUGGGGUUGAUGUAUGGAGCCUGGGGGUAGUUCUGUACAGGGACCCUGCUGUUUGUGGGGGAGGACUUCUGAGAACUGAAGCAUCAGAUGUGGAGUGGACACUUGCAUGUACCUAUACUUUACGUCUACAGAAUGUCAAAAAGUUUUCUAAAAAUUAAUGACCCUUGGAACCCGGCAAAAGAACAACCCUGGAAUAUGUUAUGAAGGACCCACAGCUCAACACGGGCCAGGAGGAGGAGCCCAGGCCUUUUAGGGAGCCCCCAGGACAACAUGGACCCCAGGUGACAGGGAUAGUAAAGAACCUGGCGUUUGAACGAGACAAGAUCCAGGAAUAAGUAACAGAACAAAAGUACAACAAAGCGAUGGGCACAUGCUUGAUCCUAAGUCCCUGAAAACCAAGGUGAAGGGCCACACCAUCAGAAUAAGACCCUGCCCCAAUCCUGACGCCAAGACCUUAAGCCCUUCCCCAGCCUGAGAGGUUCUGCCCUGGUGGCAGAAGACCAAAGAACCUGCUAUCCCCCAGCCAGCUUGGAGUCCAGGACCUCCAUCCCCAACCCGGCCCUCCAGAGAGGCUCGGUGGGCUUCCCCGCACCCACAGUAGCAGCAGCAGCUCAGCAGUGGCGGCACCUCCAGAGGGAACCAACACAAAAACUCCUUUCAUGCUGGGCAGCCUGAGGGUGGGACCCCAGCCUCUCCCUCUGGCCACAGGCAUGGCCAGCAGGGGGCGGUAACUAGGAGGUUCUUCCAUUUCCCAUUAAGAUGCACGUGCUGUAGGCUGUCCACUACCAGAAGCACAAGUCAAACCAAUAUAAUUUUUAAAAUUGUGGAAAACCAAGGCAGGACCACAGUCAAGACUCUGGCUCAAGCCAUACCGCCCCCCCCCCUCGCAUUUUACAUCAAACUUAAAGGUGCCGCGCACCAGGGCGGCCAGCCACCUGGUGCAGGGGUCAGCCAGAGGCAAGGCCCAAGCAGCUGCAGGGGACAGCAGUGCCGGCCGGCCAUGCGCACCUCUCAGGGGGAGGACUUGAUCCAGCAGACAAUGAAGAUGUGCAAACCGCUCAGCUCCCAGGGUGGCCUGCAGCGCCCCACUGGAAGGGGGGGCUAAGAGGACAGGCCCCCCUCCCUGCAGUCCACCCCUCAGCCCCCACUUGAAUGAAACUUCAGAGACUGAACUGUUUUUGCUGGGGGCCCUUCUCGCCUCCCCUGCUCUUCUUUUCUCCCCCGUGUGUGGGGGUUCUUAUUAAAGUGUUUGGUUCUUCCAAAUCUUAUAAUA